CAUGGACAUCAUUUCUCUGUUACAUAUUUCAAUUCUUCAGGGAUAAAUUCUGAAUACCAGCCUGCAAAACUCUCGUUUAAGGAAGUUCGGGGUGCAUAAAUACGAUGGCAGAGAUGAAACAGAAAGCAUCUAAGAGCAAAUCCAUUUGCUGCCCUACAGCUUUGACAGCUGAAAAAGUUCUGUUCGUGCUGCAAAACAAGCUGACCUUCUAGCAGGGGCCAGGCAUGAGAUCCUCGCCAAAGGUGAAUGGCUUGGAAAGCUCUGCAUGUGCGUGAAAAGGGAAACAGUGGAAACUAUUUUUGUUUGGAACACACUUGUGCAUUGAAAAGCAGUUCUGUACAAAUGGUGUUCUAACUAAAUAGGUUUGUUUCCUAUACGUCUGACCGCCACAGCUCCCCAUGCUCUGUGCAUGUUUGUUGUUAGGACCACUGCAGUCUGUAGAUGUUGUUUAAUGCACAGUGCUUCCAUGAUUGCUGUGAGUGGAGCAGGUGCUGACCCAGCUUUGGUCAUAUGGGGUACUGCUCUGCACUGAGUUAAGUCAGUGCAGCUCCUGGAAUUUUGUUGGUUCUUGAGGUCCUGAGAGGAGCAAUCCAGUAACAAGCCUUUUGUAAUAAGUACAUCUAAUACACGUUGUUACUUUCAUACUUCAGCCUUCAAUCAAACCUUAAGCUCUUCCAGGAACACCCAAGGUGCAAGAGAUGCAGGCAUAGAUGACCUAAAACUGAGCAUCAUUUGUCUGACAGGGAGGUUAAUAAUGUUAGUCUUUGAGGGAGCUCUGACAGAAAACAUAAAUAGCAGGACACAGUGUUCCUUCUUGCGUCUUGCACUAAUCCUGGCAUGGGAGCAAUCUACCACCACAAAUAAGGUUAUCAGCAUCAAAUCUCCAGCCAACCGUAAAUCUCUCCUGGGUUAGUGAGCUCUGGCUGCACAGCAAUGUGACCUCAGGCAGGAGGAGGCUCUGAAUUGUUGGGUCUGCUCGAGGUGGUACAGCACAGGCUACACAACCUGAUCAAUGUGUGGAAGUGUGAAUUCUUACCGAAUACUGGUGAAGCUGUCUCCCAGUUCCUGGAACAGCUGCAGAGUCCAGUAGGCGCUGAUAAACACAGUGCAAAUGGGUGGGCAGCAGGUGCUUGGCAGCAUGUGGGCUACAGCCCAGAAAUAGAUUGUAUUGAUCGUAAAUAGCUCACUGCUAGCUUAUGUUGGUGAAGGCAAACCUCUCCUUACGAAUGUGUAAUAAACAAAACACUGAUCAUACAUACGUAGUGGGACCUGUUUUGAAAGUUACCAGCACUUCUAUUUACUGCGUCUUAUUUUACACUAAAAAGUACUUGAGAAUAAUGCUAAGUAUAGAUAUCUCAAAGUAAUAGGAGAGAGUAUUAUCCCUGGAAUGGGAUGACCUCAAUGUAGAAGAGCAAAGGUUUCUUUGCUCUUUCUAUGUCAUCAUCUCGAUGGCAGUGGGUGUCAUGCUGAACUGAGAGCCCACACAUUGUCAGUGUACAGCAACACGUUUCAGCUGAAUCCCAAACCAGGAACCCAAGGGUUUUCCCAUUUCCUCCUUUGUCUUUUCCAAUCUUUUGUAAUCCCAAGUGCAAACGAUGCCAAGAGUCACAACAGGUGGAUGAAGUGCUAGCAAGAAUAUUGAGAUAAUGUUUUUCUAAAAAAAACAAAAACCCACAAGUAGUGUUUGUUUCAAAGUUAAAGAUGGCUGUGGUUAAACUUUGUUUUGAAGUCAAUGAGAAUCUACUGACCCUAAUAUAAGAGGAGCUAAUCUGAGAGAGCCAGCAUAAACAUUCAGAGCUGCUUGGCUAUAAGUAGCAGGCUUAAAAACAGAGACCAAAUACCCCAUCAAACACACACACGUUGCUGUUUGUGUACUGUGGAGAAAAAGAGGAGCAACAGCACUCCUGAGCCAUGGGAGAGAGCAGAUAGCUUCCAUUUUUGCCGUGACACUGCUGCCAACAGCGUGGUGUAUCUGAUUGUGAAUGGUGUAAGUGAACGUGAGCUAUACUGAGAGGUAAAUAAGAGAUGUACCCAGUCAGAUGUGCAGCUGAGAAGGAAGGGCAGGGAAGGCUGUGUAAAGGCACUGCUGAACAGGCAGGAUUUCCUCUCGACAGUUUCAGCCUGGUGAAUGACACAGAGCCUAGCGUGUUACACAAGCUGUUACGUCAGUGUGAGUGUUAUACAUCGAAAUCUGUGCCAUGGGAGCAUAAUUAUGGAUGCAACAUCGGGCAUGAAAAGGAACUGUUUGAGUUACGUUUACUUGUAUAGUUUUGUGCAGUGUUCAUGAGAAGAUGCAUUCCUUUAAAUCUAGAAAUUUGAAAUCCAGAUUUCACGUACUGUUUUAAUUUUUGAAGGUGUUCAACACGCGUUCUGUUUUCCUAGCUCGGCGGUGGCAGCAGCCAUGCUCCCAUCUCCCUGCAGACUGUUCACAGGUAGGUGACAUAAGAGAUCUGCCUGGAGCUGGUACUUUUUAGUGCCCUUCUGCAUUCUCUAGUUUCUGUACCACUUCGCAGCCGCACAGAACGCCUAUAAACAUAACCUGGACUCACCUUUUGUACUUUCUCAUUUUCUCCCCAGACAAGAAUGGUCCGGUCUGGACUUUGCAGUAAUCUCUGAUGUACAAACAAUCUAUCUCCAGCGAUGCAGGAAAGGAGCCUCAGCCCAUCAGUGAUGUGUGCUCUUCUGGCAGCAGGGAGUGCAAAGCUUUACACAGACCGUGGGAGCUCAGGUUCCCAGCUGCUAGAGAUGGAUUUGCCUGGUUUGGUGCAAGGGAAGACCCAGUUCUGCCAUCGGCCCUGUGCAGAAGCAAAGAGCAGACUGGUGCCAGGCCCUUUGCGUGCUAGCACUUUGCUGAGCCAUCAGAGAGGUCAUCCACAUUGAGGAGAGCUGUUGUGGGACAAAGAGAGAUGUAAACCCAAACUAUUUCUGUUGUAUCUGUGUGUCAGAUCCUACAGCCAGGUGUUAGAAGAAAAGAAAACUGAAUGUGUGGUGUUAAGCUGCAGCUCCAGGAACUGGGGGCUCUUGAAAAAGCAGACUGCAGAAGUUAGUCUCUGCCUGAGAACUGCGUGCUUUUAAUUUGCGUUCAGCUCUAUCAGGAACACCCGGCACUGUCUAAAGCCAAAGCCAGAGUCCCAGCCUUUCACUUUUCCUUGCCCAAACCCUGUCAGAUACUGUUACUACAGUACAUUAUUAAAUGCCCUGUUAUCUAACGUGCUCUGAUUGUUUGCUGCCACUGCCAUGGCAGCAGCAAGGAGUCAUUUCCUAACAGCCUCACUUUUACUGUGCUGUGUCACGGGGCAGUGCAAGCGACAGGUGACACCACGGUGACAUCCGCAGUGCGCAUGGUGACAAUCCUGAAUGAAUCAAAAGGGAAGGGCACAUCUCAAUAUGUAUAUCCUGGUGUGCAGCAGUGACUGAUACGGAAAGUAUUAAGAAGCAGCAUAGUGAAUGGUGCAUAUGGGAGUGCUGCAUGUACGUGGGGCUUUGCUAAAAAAAGCUUUGUGCUGUCUGGAAGUCAUUUGAAUAGAUCUUAAACCUACCGAGCAAGAGCUGCACCUGGGCGUGCUGCAAAAUCCAACAAGCAGAGCCAGCAAGUUUCUGGAAUUUCUUUUUCUUCAGAGACAUGUGUGAGCAGUAAAGCGUGUCCCUCUCCAUGGAGGGGUGGGCUGGUGGGGGAUGGAUGGCAAUCUGCUCCUGCUGACUGUCGGCAUGGGACUGUGCACAGCAGAUGCACAGUAAUCACUGUCCCACUGCAGGCUGGUACCCUGGGAUGUGUGUAAUGGGUAAUUAGUUGUGGGGUCAUCAAUAACACUGCUGUGGCUCGCAGCAGAGAGGUCAGCCAAACUGACUGCAUGUCAGGCUUGGGUGCCACACUAAUGGCUCCUACGUGUGAGAAAUACACACGUAGGUUUAGCACUGUGCUAUCAAGUAUUUGAGAGCUCUGAGUCACUUCUUGAAUUUUCCCCACCAGCAAAAUGGCUGGAAGCAGUUUUGCCACCAACCCCUGUUUCAGCGUGUGCUCUCACCCCAGCCCAUGUGUGAGAGCCAGCACAGUGCCACAGCCGGGAAGGGAUGCAGGCAGCCAACUCAUCAUCAGCUGCAGAGGGGCCAGUGCCAGCAUCCUGCGGGGGUGAGAAAGUGUGGGUGAGAGGCUAGUAUUGCAACACCCUAAAAAUAGGCAGGAAGUCCCCAGCCAGAGCUGCUGGCAUCGUGUUCUCGCCUCUGACAGCACAGCAUGAUUCUCAGCAAUGGGAUGCAGCUUUUACCCCUUUCUCAAGUAACACAUCCCUAAAAUAAAUGCUAGGAAAGAACUUUUGUGCUAGAGUGUGCCAGGUUGUCUUUGCUGUAAAACAAGCUCAUCCCAGAGUCUUACAGUGAGAAUGUGGACAGAGGACUUUUAAUGACAUUGAUUUUUUUUUUUUUUGGAACAGUUGCACUUUCUUAGCCACUCAAUUCAGCUUUAACAAUCACACAUACCAAUGCUGCUCCUACUCUAGUCGGUCGUAUAACAGAGCUUUGAUGCAUUUGU
This is a long non-coding RNA of Meleagris gallopavo (turkey), 4528 nucleotides long. RefSeq lists it as uncharacterized. NCBI's taxonomy places the organism in Eukaryota, Metazoa, Chordata, Aves, Galliformes, Phasianidae. The record is from RefSeq and is a predicted model, not a curated record.